GGAAUCUUCGGCAAUGGACGAAAGUCUGACCGAGCAACGCCGCGUGAGUGAAGAAGGUUUUCGGAUCGUAAAACUCUGUUGUUAGAGAAGAACAAGGGUGAGAGUAACUGUUCACCCCUUGACGGUAUCUAACCAGAAAGCCACGGCUAACUGCGUGCCAG
Molecule: ribosomal RNA, 161 nt
Filed under: uncultured bacterium
Lineage: Bacteria
Description: partial 16S rRNA
Rfam family: Bacterial small subunit ribosomal RNA
Source: RNAcentral